GGUCAUUUGGAGUCGUGGGCCCUGGGCGGUCGCCCGGGUUGCCCACCGUCGGCCCUGAAAAUAGCUAUGGAAAAUUUCCGUAGGUAGUUACCUAUAUAAUAUCAACGGAAUGGGAUGCCCUAAUUUAGUAACAGAAUAACACACGUCAUGAAGUCCAAUAAUAAGAAGUUAAAUAACCCGGUUUCACAACCCUUAUUGGGUUUGGUUCGUCGGAAUUGAAUGGAAUUCGGGGGAAAAGGAAUCCAAUUCCUUUGGAUUCCGGCGUUUGGUUCAACAUUAAGGAAAGGAAAAUGAUUCCUAAAUGAGCAAACAUUCCAUCAAAUGGAGGAAAAUACUUUCCUUCAAAGAAAGGAGGGAAUUAAUUCCAUACCAUCUAGGAAAGUGAAAAGUACAAUUAUACCCUUUUAAUUUCACAAAAUCAUUCUAACCCUAUCUCACGUAUUCUCCAUCUCUACGUCAAAAUCAGAUUGCAACCGACUUCAACACAACACUCGUCUUCUACAUCUCGUCUUCUGCCAGUUAUAGCUUAAGUACUCCCUAGAUCCUAUGUAUCAUCAAUAUUUCAACAUUGUGGAAGAAAACAUUGGUGUUCUAGGUUGUUGAACAUUCAAAUGUUGCAGGGAUGGGAGUUCAAUGGUUUAUUUGUAUUAAAUUGAAGACAAUUACUUCAUAAUAUUUUCAUGGAGAUUAGAUAUAAUGAUAGAAAGAUAGAUGUUAAAAUGGCAAAUUGUGUUACUUUCAUGUUAUUGAAGACCUAAUACUGAUGAUGGUUUGUUUAA
Lactuca sativa (garden lettuce) is the source of this 779-nucleotide long non-coding RNA. RefSeq lists it as uncharacterized. The record is from RefSeq and is a predicted model, not a curated record. NCBI's taxonomy places the organism in Eukaryota, Viridiplantae, Streptophyta, Magnoliopsida, Asterales, Asteraceae.